Molecule: ribosomal RNA, 280 nt
Filed under: uncultured bacterium
Lineage: Bacteria
Description: partial 16S ribosomal RNA
Rfam family: Bacterial small subunit ribosomal RNA
Source: RNAcentral
UGCCAGCCGCCGCGGUAAUACGGGGGGCGCAAGCGUUAUUCGGAAUUAUUGGGCGUAAAGAGCUCGUAGGCGGUUCAGCAAGUCGGCUGUGAAAGUUCGAGGCUCAACCUCGAAAUUGCAGUCGAUACUGCUGUGACUUGAAUUCGGUAGAGGAGAAUGGAAUUCCCGGUGUAGCGGUGAAAUGCGCAGAUAUCGGGAGGAACACCAGUAGCGAAGGCGGUUCUCUGGGCCGAUAUUGACGCUGAGGCGCGAAGGCGUGGGUAGCGAACGGGAUUAGAUA